Molecule: transfer RNA, 67 nt
Filed under: Marmota monax (woodchuck)
Lineage: Eukaryota; Metazoa; Chordata; Mammalia; Rodentia; Sciuridae
Description: tRNA.Ala
Source: RNAcentral
GGUUGUGGCUCAGUGGUAAAGCACCUGCCUUGCAUGUGUGAGGCACUGGGUUUGAUUCUCAGCACCA